GCCAUGAGCUAUAUCAUUGUGUCAUUCCAUCCACGUGCAUAAUGUGCUUAUGAGGUAUUUUCAGGCUAUUAGAUUAUUAGAUCUCUCUUUCAGAAGAAAAUUCAGUUUACUCACAGCUCAGCAAACUCUUGUGUCAAUUGUAUGAAAAGGGAGAGAAAUCAACAUCACAUCAAUAUCCAUCCUUUCCAUCUCUUUCAAGAAAACAGGGACAGAAUUUGACUGCUUUAAUUAAAGGCAAAUUUACACAGGGGCCCGCCCAGACAUAACAAUUCCAAAGAUGGAAGACAUGAUGUUGACGUAUUUCUGUUGCUUCAGCUUGUCUUCUGAAGGAAAUAUUCUGCGAAAUCUCCCAGCAUUCCUGUUUUCGAAAUCCUCUCUUGCUGU
This is a long non-coding RNA of Ostrea edulis (European flat oyster), 384 nucleotides long. RefSeq lists it as uncharacterized. The record is from RefSeq and is a predicted model, not a curated record. NCBI's taxonomy places the organism in Eukaryota, Metazoa, Mollusca, Bivalvia, Ostreida, Ostreidae. The transcript has 3 exons.